AGGAAGGUGGGGAUGACGUCAAAUCAUCAUGCCCCUUAUGACCUGGGCUACACACGUGCUACAAUGGCGUAUACAACGAGUUGCCAACCCGCGAGGGUGAGCUAAUCUCUUAAAGUACGUCUCAGUUCGGAUUGUAGGCUGCAACUCGCCUACAUGAAGUCGGAAUCGCUAGUAAUCGCGGAUCAGCACGCCGCGGUCAACCUUACCAGGUCUUGACAUCCCUUGACAACUCCAGAGAUGGAGRGUUCCCUUCGGGGACAAGGUGACAGGUGGUGCAUGGUUGUCGUCAGCUCGUGUCGUGAGAUGUUGGGUUAAGUCCCGCAACGAGCGCAACCCUUAUUACUAGUUGCCAGCAUUCAGUUGGGCACUCUAGUGAGACUGCCGGUGACAAACCGCAAACAGGAUUAGAUACCCUGGUAGUCCACACCGUAAACGAUGAGUGCUAGGUGUUUGAGGGUUUCCGCCCUUAAGUGCCGCAGCUAACGCAUUAAGCACUCCGCCUGGGGAGUACGACCGCAAGGUUGAAACUCAAAGGAAUUGACGGGGACCCGCACAAGCGGUGGAGCAUGUGGUUUAAUUCGAAGCAACGCGAAGCAGACGGUUAUUUAAGUCUGAAGUGAAAGCCCUCAGCUCAACUGAGGAAUUGCUUUGGAAACUGGAUGACUUGAGUGCAGUAGAGGAAAGUGGAACUCCAUGUGUAGCGGUGAAAUGCGUAGAUAUAUGGAAGAACACCAGUGGCGAAGGCGGCUUUCUGGACUGUAACUGACGUUGAGGCUCGAAAGUGUGGGUAGCGCCUGAUGGAGCAACGCCGCGUGUGUGAUGAAGGGUUUCGGCUCGUAAAACACUGUUGUAAGAGAAGAAUGACAUUGAGAGUAACUGUUCAAUGUGUGACGGUAUCUUACCAGAAAGGAACGGCUAAAUACGUGCCAGCAGCCGCGGUAAUACGUAUGUUCCAAGCGUUAUCCGGAUUUAUUGGGCGUAAAGCGAGCUGCAUGGUUGUUAUUUAAAAGAUGGUUCUGCUAUCACUAAGAGAUGGUCCCGCGGUGCAUUAGCUAGUUGGUAAGGUAAUGGCUUACCAAGGCGAUGAUGCAUAGCCGAGUUGAGAGACUGAUCGGCCACAAUGGGACUGAGACACGGCCCAUACUCCUACGGGAGGCAGCAGUAGGGAAUCUUCCACAAUGGGCGAAGCUCAGGAUGAACGCUGGCGGCGUGCCUAAUACAUGCAAGUCGAACGCUUUGUGGUUCAACUGAUUUGAAGAGCUUGCUCAGAUAUGACGAUGGACAUUGCAAAGAGUGGCGAACGGGUGAGUAACACGUGGGAAACCUACCUCUUAGCAGGGGAUAACAUUUGGAAACAGAUGCUAAUACCGUAUAACAAUGACAACC
This 1386-nucleotide ribosomal RNA is filed under the name Weissella confusa. RNAcentral's name for it is "16S ribosomal RNA". Lineage: Bacteria; Bacillati; Bacillota; Bacilli; Lactobacillales; Lactobacillaceae. The record is from RNAcentral.